GUCAGGGAUCCCAGACUAGCUGACCUUUCUCCUUUUGCAGUCUGGGGGUGGAAAUGAGAACAUAAUAGCCCAUGAUGAGCUGGCUGAGCAAAGUUGGGCCAAGCCAUCAAAUGCAGCUGUUGACUUCCCACAGGACUGAUCUCUCUUGCCUCACAGUUCACUUCAGGAGGAAGGUGUGCAGAAUAUAUGGCCACAUGACCUGUCCACAAGUUGAACAGUGAAACAAGCAGCCUACACCAGGGUAAGAGUGUUGUCAUCCAGAUUCUCAUCCAGAUUCCUAAAAGGCGUUGGCAAUGGCCCAGAAAUGACUGCAGAGAGGAAUUGGUCCACUUCCUGGAGGUCACUGAUGCAACAAGGUUUUUGCCCCCUUGGAAUGCCUAAUGCUUGCUCCAGAAGGUAGUGACUGGUUGCAGUUGUUCCUUCGGUACUCCCUCAACUCCUUGAUAUUGGCAAUCUUUGGUAAACUGCAGCCAUGUCCUUCUUCAGUCCCCAGAUUGGCAGCUACUCAUACGUUUUGAUGUAGAGUCCUUCCUGGCCCGGCGAAGACAACCCCCAGGAAGGCCCUCAGGCUGCCUCUCAACAAAAGCCUUUUCUCGUGGUGGUCUUAGCCUUCUCUGAUGCCAAGAUAUGCCUGUCACCAUCUCUAUUGAUCUCUUUCAUCACCAAGGCAUAUUUGCCAACUUCAACUCUUUAAAAAAACACACACACAAAAGUUCCAACAUUUCAUAAGGGAAGCAGGGCACCAAUCUGUUUACUCUAGAG
This 762-nucleotide long non-coding RNA is filed under the name Macaca mulatta (Rhesus monkey). RNAcentral describes it as "lncRNA (ENSMMUG00000060154.1)". Lineage: Eukaryota; Metazoa; Chordata; Mammalia; Primates; Cercopithecidae. The record is from RNAcentral.